RNAcentral lists this ribosomal RNA (218 nucleotides) under uncultured bacterium. RNAcentral's name for it is "partial 16S ribosomal RNA". It matches the Rfam family "Bacterial small subunit ribosomal RNA", at positions 523 to 740 of the family's 1533-position model. The record is from RNAcentral.
GGACAGAGGGUGCAAACGUUGUUCGGAAUUACUGGGCGUAAAGCGCGUGUAGGCGGCCAUCUAAGUCGGGCGUGAAAUCCCACGGCUCAACCGUGGAAGUGCACUCGAAACUGGAUGGCUAGAGUCCUGGAGAGGAAGGUGGAAUGCUUGGUGUAGAGGUGAAAUUCGUAGAUAUCAAGCGGAACACCGGUGGCGAAGGCGGCCUUCUGGACAGUGAC